Paramuricea clavata is the source of this 505-nucleotide non-coding RNA. The record is from the annotation of a GenBank genome assembly. NCBI's taxonomy places the organism in Eukaryota, Metazoa, Cnidaria, Anthozoa, Malacalcyonacea, Plexauridae.
UUGAUAUCAUUUAUUGGAUUUAUUUGGCUUAGGCCAACUUCGAGGACACUGGAAACCAGGCUUAAACAAAUUUAUUGCAACUCCAUAUUUUGACCCUUCAACUGAUUUUCUCAAAAAAAUUAAUGCCCCCCCUUCUAGUAAAUUAUUUCCCCCCUCCCUCUCCAUAAAUAAGGACUGGUCCCUAACUGCAGGAAAAAUAUGUGCACUUCACAGAACAUUUAUAACAAUUCAUAAUUUAUUACUUUUGCCUCAGGCUGGGUAACCACAACAGAAGUUGCCAAAUAGGCCCUUUUAAGGUAGCUUGCGUGUCAGGCUCGAUGCUUGAAUAGAGCCUGUUAUACCCUGUGAGCAAAGUCCUCUCGUAUUUCUUCUCGGCACGGCACAGAGAAGCGAGAGAGACUCUGCAGAACUUGUGUAUAAAUUCAUUUGAGCAUGCGCGAAGGUAGCCUGCGAACAGGCUCUCAAGCUGAAUUGAGAGCCUGCAUCGAUCACUAAUGAAUUAGAA